GACGAACGCUGGCGGCGUGCUUAACACAUGCAAGUCGAACGGAAAGGCCCUGCUUUUGUGGGGUGCUCGAGUGGCGAACGGGUGAGUAACACGUGAGUAACCUGCCCUUGACUUUGGGAUAACUUCAGGAAACUGGGUCUAAUACCGGAUAGGAGCUCCUGCUGCAUGGUGGGGGUUGGAAAGUUUCGGCGGUUGGGGAUGGACUCGCGGCUUAUCAGCUUGUUGGUGGGGUAGUGGCUUACCAAGGCUUUGACGGGUAGCCGGCCUGAGAGGGUGACCGGCCACAUUGGGACUGAGAUACGGACCAGACUCCUACGGGAGGCAGCAGUGGGGAAUAUUGCACAAUGGGCGGAAGCCUGAUGCAGCAACGCCGUGUGCGGGAUGACGGCCUUCGGGUUGUAAACCGCUUUCGCCUGUGACGAAGCGUGAGUGACGGUAAUGGGUAAAGAAGCACCGGCUAACUACGUG
RNAcentral lists this ribosomal RNA (468 nucleotides) under uncultured bacterium. RNAcentral's name for it is "partial 16S ribosomal RNA". It matches the Rfam family "Bacterial small subunit ribosomal RNA", at positions 28 to 507 of the family's 1533-position model. The record is from RNAcentral.